CCCUUAGAUGUUCUGGGCUGCACGCGCGCUACACUGAUGCACCCAACGGGUUUACGACCUUGCCUGGAAAGGUUGGGUAAUCCUACAAAAAUGCGUCGUGGUGGGGACAGAUUACUGCAAUAACUAAUCUUCAACGAGGAAUUCCUAGUAAGCGCGAGUCAUCAGCUCGUGCUGAUUACCUCCCUGCCCUUUGUACACACCGCCCGUCGCUCCUACCGAUUAAGUGAUCCGGUGAAUAGUUCGGACUGCUGCAAUGCUUGGAUCCCGAGAAUUGCGGCGAAAGUUUAGUGAACCUUAUCACUUAGAGGAAGGAGAAGUCGUAACA
Molecule: ribosomal RNA, 325 nt
Filed under: uncultured eukaryote
Lineage: Eukaryota
Description: partial 18S ribosomal RNA
Rfam family: Eukaryotic small subunit ribosomal RNA
Source: RNAcentral